RNAcentral lists this long non-coding RNA (205 nucleotides) under Bos taurus (domestic cattle). RNAcentral's name for it is "long non-coding RNA NONBTAT004929". Lineage: Eukaryota; Metazoa; Chordata; Mammalia; Artiodactyla; Bovidae. The record is from RNAcentral.
GUGAGGCUCUGGACGCUUCGCCCGGGCUCAUGUUACCCCCAGCCUCCCUCCUGGGAAUCAUCUUGACGGCAUGCACAUAGAAAUUCCUCUUUCAUGUUUGGAAAGGCAUGGCCUCUCUUUCAGUGAAUCAGCUGAACCAAAACAGUCACGUUGAACCACCGAAGCCCCGUGUUUGUGCAGCACCUCGAAAAAAAUGCAUGUGUUU